UCGCAGCCGCGCUCCGGUCUGCGAUAGAGGCUCGGCGGCGGCUCCACCGGAAACGAACCGGCCGCAGCCAAUCAGCGCUCGGCUGUGACGUCAAUGCGCCUCGCUUUGGCCAGCGAGGUCGCCUUGGCAACCUUAAAGGUGAGCUCUGAACAAUGCCUAUGGCAAACUAGCGGAGUACACAGCACAUUUCUGGGAUCUGACGUGGACACCAUCGCAGAACCGUAGACACCAGAAGUAUUUUACCACUUUUAUUCUCCCUUGUUUGAUUGGCUGUCCUUUUCCUGUCUGGUUGGAUGUCAUCUUGUUUUGCUUUGUAUUUUGUGGUGGUUUAUGUUUUGUGGGGUUUUUUCCCUCUCUUAUUGUGGUCUCUUUUUCAUUUUCCAUUUCUUCCUCCUUUUUUCACAGUGUAGGUUUCUUAUCUUUCUUUUUCAUUUUCUUUUAUUUAUUCACUUUCUCACUUUUUUCAACUACAUCUUGAGUUUAACCUUUGGAGUAAACACUGUCUCUUCCCUUUGUGAUUACUCUUUUGUCUCAUUCUUUCCCUCCUGUGUCCUCCAUUCAAGAAAAAAAAUGGGAUCCAUGAAUCAGAGUCAAACCAUCCAAGAGAUUUAAAACCAUCACUGAAAAAUAUGCAACAGAUUAAAUAAGGAGAGGAAAAAUGAUCAGAUCUUGAAGACAGAAUUGCAACUAGAGAUCAUGAAAAGAAACAUAUCUUAAAAAUAGCAAAAGAUGACGAAAAAUCAAAAAAUUCUUCACAGAAAUAAUGGCCGAAAAUUUUCUAAGCAUGGAUAGAGAAUUUGACAUACAAAUAAAUGAAGCAUAUAGAACUUCAAACAGCCAUGACCAAAAUAAAACUACACCAAAUCAUAUAAUAAUCAAGAUUCCAGACAUUCAGCACAAAAACAGAAUAUUAAAAGCUGUUAAAGAAAACAAAUAGAUCACCCAUAAAGGACAACCCAUCAGAAUCAUGGCAGACUUCUCAAAACAAACCCUCAAGUUAAUAUGAGCUUGGAACAAAAUAUUUCAAGUCCUGAAAGAAAACAGCUUCCAACCUAAAUUUCUGACCCUGAAAAAAUAUCUUUCAAAAUUAAUGGAGAAAUGGGAUACUUCCAUGACAAAGAACAACUGAAGAAAUUUAUGACCACCGUUUAAACCGACCCUAUGAAGAAUGCUGAAAGAUAUUCCAGACAGAGAUAAAAAUCAUCACAAUUCCAAAAACAACCCAAGAAAGAAACCACCAUCAGGGCAAGCAGUUUAACAGAGGGGAAAAUCAGGGAACCAACAGCAGAAAAAUUUCAUGACAAAGAUAAGCCAGUGAAUAGCAGUUAUAACCAUCAGUGUAAAUGGCCUCAAUUCAGCAAUCAAAAGAAACAUCUUGGCACAAUGGAUCACGAAAUAAUAUUCAACAAUAUACAAGAAACACGUUUAACUCAAAAAGAAACUCAUAUACUCAACGUCAAAGAAUGGAAAACAAUCCUCCAUGCAACAAGAAACCAGAAAAUAGCAGGGGUGGCUAUUCAGUUAGCAGACAAUGUGAACUUCAAACAAGGAAUGAUCAAAAGAGAUAAAGAAGGUCACUAUGUACUUCUUAGGGAAAAAUUUCAAGGAGAAAAGAUAACAAUCAUAAAUAUAUAUACACCAAAUAUAGGAGCACCCAAUUAUAUAAGACAAUUAUUAAUAGGUAUGAAAAAUCAAAUAGGUGAUAACACAGUUGUAACAAGAAAUGUUAAUAGCCCAUUGUUACCAAGAGAUAGAUCAACUAGACAAAAAAAAUCAGCAAAGAGAUACCAGAAGUAAGCCAAAUUGGUGAACAAAUGGACUUAGUAACUAUGUCUUCAGUGUUCCAUCCAACAUCAUCAGAAUACACAUUAUUCUUGGCUGCACAUGGGACAUUCUCUAGACUAUUCCAUAUACUAGCCCACAGAACAUACUUAAGUAAAUGCAAAUGAAUUAAAAUGAUCUCAUAUAUUAUCUGACCACAGUGCAAUGAAAUUAGAAAUUAAUGGCAAAAGAAACCACAAAAACAGCAUUAACCCAUGGAAAUUAAAUAGCACCCCCCAAAACAACCAGUAGGUCACAGAAAAAUUGAAGAAGAAAUUAAACAAUAUGUACAACUAAUAAGAAAGUAGGUACAACAUACCAAAAACUUAUGAGACAAAAUGAAAGAAAUCAUAAGAGGAAAAUUUAUAGCUGAGAAUUCUCACAUCAGGAAAACAGGAGAAGCACAAAUAAACAAUCUAAUGUUGCACUUCAGGCUUCUAGGGAAAAAAAAAGAACAAAACAAGCCCAAAGCCCAUACAAGGGAGGAGAGUAUAAAGAUCAGAGCAGAAAUUACUACAGUGGAGACUAAGAAAGCAAUACAAAGAAUUAAUGAUUUGAAGAGUUGGCUCUUUAAAAGAAUAGAUAAAAUUGGUAAACUGUUAACCAACCUUAUCCAAAAACAGAAAGAAAAAACUCAAAAGUCAAGCACUGAGGAAUUAAAACUGUGAAAUCACUUCAGAUCCUGUGGAAAUGUAGAAGAUCAUCAAUACCUAUUUUGAAAACCAUUAGUCCCAUUGGAUAGAAAACACAGAAGACAUGGACAGAUUCUUAUAUACAUAUGAAGUACAAAUGCUGUAUCAAGAAGAUACAAAAAUUCUGAAUAACCCAGUAUCAGUUAAUGAGAAAAUUUUACCAGCAAACAAAAUUCCAGGUCCUGUUGGAUUCACUGCUGAAUUUUACAAGAAUUUUAGAGAAAAUUUCAUGCCACUAUGCCACAAACUCUUUAAUAAAGUAAAGGAAGUAAUACUCCCUAAUUCAUUCCUAAAGGUAGGUAGGUAUUCCCCUGAUACCAAAACCAGAGAAAAAGGAGAUCUACAGGCCAAUCUCCCUAAUGAACAUAGAUGCAAAAAUCUUCAAGAAGAUACCAGCAAACAGAAUGCAACAAAUCAUCAAGAAGAUUAUCCAGCAUGACCAAGUAGGCUUCAUCACAGGAAUGCAGGAAUGGUUCAAUAUGCACAAAUCAAUAAAUGUAAUACACCAUAUCAAUAGAACCAAAGACAAAAAUCACAUGAUCAUCUCAAUAAAUACAUAAAAAAACCUUUUGAUAAAGUCCAACAAUCAUUCAUGAUAAAAAAAAACCCACAGAAAAUUGGAAUAGAUGGUAUUUACCUCAAUCUGAUAAAAAGCCAUCUAUCACAGACCAACAGCCAACAUCAUACUAAAUGGCCAAAAACUGAAAGCUUUCACUCUAAAAUCAGGAACAAGACAAGGAUGCCCACUAUCACCAUUCCUACUCAAUAUAGUACUGGGAACAUUAACCAUAGCAAUUAGACAAGAGACAGAAAUAAAAAGGAUAAAGUAAGGGAAGGAAAAAGUUAAAUUCUCAUUGUUUACAGAUAAUACACUAUAUAGAAGAUCCCAAAAACUCCACCAAAAAGCUUCUAGAUUUAAUAAGCAAAUUCAGUAACAUACCUGGAUAUGAAGCCAGCACACAGAAAUCAAUAGCAUUCCUCAAGAAACUCACUGAGAGAGAAAUUAGGGAAACCAUACCCUUCACAGUAGCAUCCAGUAAAAUUUGUAAUCUAAAAACGGAAGUAACAGAUUUAUACAUUGAAAAUUACAUUAUUCUACAAAAGGAGAUUGAAGAGGAUAUCAGAAAAUAGAAAUAUAGUCCUUGCUCAUGGAAGGACCAACAUAGUGAAAAUUGUCAUUCUCCAAAAAUUGUUAUACAGAUUUAAGACAAUUCCAAUAAAAAUUUCCAAUCAAAAUUAGCAUAUCUCAUACAACUAGAGAAAACAUGCUUUUUUUUUUCAAAUUGGUACUGAGUAUCGAACUCAGGACCGCCUGCUUGCAAGGCAGGUGCUUAUGCUGCUGAGCUAAAUCCCCAGCCCUAGAGAAAACAUUCUUAAAAUUUGUUUGGAAACAGAAGACUAAAAUAACAAAAGCAGCUCUGGGCAACAAAGGCAAGGCAAGAAUCAUAACAAUCCCUGACUUAAAAUUAUACUACAAAGCUGCUGUGAUAAAAUCAGCAUGGUGCUGGAAAAAAAAACAGACCUAGGAUCAGUGGAACAUACUAGAAGAUGCAGACACAACUACAAACACACUCAGCCACCUUAUCUUUGACAAAGGGGCUAAGCAUGUUCACUGGGAGAGAAAUAACCUCUUUAAUAAAUAGUGCUGGAAAAACUGGCUCUCCACAUGCCAAAGAUCAAAAGGAGAAUCAUGUCUAUCACUACACACUAAAGUCAAAAUGAAUCAAAACGCUAAAUAUUAAAACAGAAACACUAAAUACACUGAAAGAGAAAGUACAUAGAAAUCUUGAAGACAUAGGUAUAGGCAGAGAGUUUAUGAACAAAACCCAACCAACAUGGGAAAUACUUCAAAGAAUCGAUAAUUGGGAUCUCAUUAUUAAAACGCUCUUGCCCAUCAAAAGAAAUCACCAACAGUGUGAAAAGAUAACCCACAGAGUGGAAAAAAAUUUUAGCCACCUGUUCCUCAGACAAAGGAGUUAUAUUUAAAACAUGAAAAACUGAAAAAAUCAGACCUCCCCGCAAUUCAAAGAUCCAAACCAAAAAUGAGCAUCUGAGAUGACUAUGCACUUCUCACGUGAAGACAUACAAAUAAUAAAUAAAUAUAUGAAGAAAUGUUCAACUUCACUGUAACUCAAGAGAUGCAAAUUGAAACAACACUGAGAUUCCAUCUCACUCCAGUAAGUAUAGUUAUCAAGAAAUUAACAAAUGCUGGAGGAGCUAGAGGGGGAAAGGAACCCUUCUCCACUGCUGUUGAGUGUGUAGCCUGGGGCAGCCACUGUGGAAAUCAAUGUGGAGAUUCCUCAAAAAAAAAAAAAAAAAAAAAAAAAAAAAAAAAAAAAAAAGACAGUGGUUGCAUUCAAUCCAGCCAUUCUCCUUCUGAGUAUUUUCCCAAAAUAAUUAAAAAUAUCAUAUGUGCAUCUGUGUUUAUAGAAGCACAAUUUGUAAUAACUAAAUCUUGGAAACAACACAAAUGCCUGUCAACCAAGGUGUGGAUAAUAACAAUGUAUUUUUUAUACAAUAAAGUGCUACUUAGCCAUAUGGAAGGACAAACUUGAGAUGGCAGAUGGAUGCAACUUGAGACCAUACUCAUAAGUGAAAUAAAUCAGACUCUCCUGUAUAAACAUCAUGUUCUCCCUGGUGUAAGAAGCUGAAAGAGUAAGUGAGAUCCAAAAUGUACAAGAUAUAUUGUGAAAUGGGAGGAAACUAUUCAAAAGGAAAGAAAAAACCGGGAUGGGGAAAAGGAGAAAAGAAAGGGAAAAGAAAAAGUAAAUUAAAAAUAUACACAUGAUAGUUACACUGUUAAUCGCUAUUAGUUCGUUGAAAGGAAAGGUUUGUACUUAUGUUUUUGAUCAAUUUUUCAUUCCUAUGUCUUGUAAUCUGAGCAGCUGCUUUGAAGAUAACAAUAUACAAUGUAUUAACCAUGGUUACUCUCCUACUAGCUUGUUUUGAAAUUUUGUAUCAUUUUUGUUGCCGUUUCUCUUUAAAAAAUUGAACAUUAACAAGUUAUUAUUAUUUGUUUAUAUGAAAUGGCCCUCCUUUGCAGUUUGUAACUUUAUGCCAUGCUCAUGCAACACUGUUAUCCUUAUUAUGUUUUCUAAGUAUAAAAACUUUGAGCACAUACAAGGCCUUGAAAAUGCCAAGCCCAAGUUCUAUCACUGACUCAUAUCCUCAGCCCCCAAAAUAAGAUAUUUUUAAGGAAAAAGCCAUGUAUUUUUAGUGCCUUUUGUUUCACUUUUUCUUCUUUUGGACAAGGGAUUCUACAUUUCCAUUUUGAACCAGACUCUGUACAUUGUGACCUUGGUUGGAAGUUUAUGAUGUUGUAAAAUCUUGCAGACACAUCCCAGCAUGCCUCGAGCAGAGAGGGCAGGCAAAUGUUCAUUUGGGGGAGGAGGGAUUUGGCCUGGGACCCCUAGAAUGUGUUAGAGAAGGAGAUAAAUGAGCAUCAAGCCCACACCUGCCUUCUGCAGAGUAGGGUGAGAGAGGGCAGCGAUGGGGAAGGCUGCUCCAGCCAGGCAAGGCGUGGACCCAGAGCUCCCAGAGUAUUAGAAGCUGACAAGUCAACAAAGCUUAGGCCACACUGAAGGACCCCAAAUGCCACCUGCCAGGGCACCAGAAGUGGCCUGAAAGCACUGGGGCAGAAGCAGAUAGGAGAGCACAAGGGUCUGCUGGUGACCACCUCACCCUAUGAGAAAUGAGGGGGUGCAGAGAGGUUUGUGGGAGCCCUUGGAAGUGGGUCCCCAGGAUAGCCAGGCCCCUAGAAGCAUUUGGACAACAGCCUUGAUGGAAGAGCAUCAGUAAGAAAGGACGACAGAGCUGUCACUGGCGAAAACCUCACAUCUUUCCUUUUUAUCCCCUGUCUGUCCCCCACUCAGGGAAAAUGGAAGUGGAGGGGACAGGGAAAGAGAACAGAGUGGAGGGAGGAGCUCAGUAGUUUCCAGCUGGUUUUGAGAGAGAAGUUUUAAUCAUAUACAUGGCUAUAUUGUUCUGCUCUCUGGAAGGGCUUGAAAAGCUGGAGUCUUUGUCCACACCACACAGAUACUGAGAGAUAUAUAUGAGGUGAAAACGGUUACACCACAGAAAAACAAACCAUCUCCCACUGGCCUCUGUGUUUAGGUCAGCAACCAGUUCUGUGUGCACAAUAAUACACAUUUCCUAAACGCAAAUGGCCUGUGGUGAUUAGGAUGGAGUAUCAACUUGACUGGCUUUGAGAUCUGCCCCCACGAUUUGUGGUGCACAUACUGGGUGGGUCAUGGGAACGUGGCCAUGAUGUCUAUGUCUAGCCCUGCCGUCUUCCUCUUUGCCCUGCCCUACUUGCCAGCUACCAUGUCCCUCUGCCAUGAUGGUUCUGCCUGCUGGCCCUGGAUUAAUCCCCUUAGACUAUGAGUCAGAUUAAACCUCUCCUUCGAGUUGUGGGUGUUGGGUAUCAUGUUCAGCAUGGCCAUGCACGAUAAACCUUGUGCUGUGUUAUUUUUUCAUACAACAACUUAUCUUAGACAUGGUUCUAUAUUAGUUGCCAAUAGAGCUGCUUAUUUUUUUUUAUUUUUUUAAGCUUUUUUUUUUCUUUUGGUACCAGGGGUUGAACUCAUGACCUCAUGCUUGCCAAACAGGUGCUUAUACCAGUGAGCUAAGUCCUUGGCCCCUGCCUCUUUGUUUUAAUGACUGCAUCAUAUUUGCUAUGGUUUGAACAUCUUCACCUCAUACUGAAAUUUAAUCUCCACUUUGAGGUAUUUGGAACAGGUGGGACCUUUGGGAGGUAAUUAGAGUUGAGAGAAAUCACAAGGGUGGGUCCCUCAUGACAGCUUUCAUGGUUUUAUAAGAGGAAGAGAGACUCAAAUUGGCCAGCUUGACCCCUCUCUCACCAUGGAUGCCCUCUGCCAUGUUAAGAUGCAGCGGGAAAGUCUCACCAGAUGCAGAGUGGAAGCCAGCUCCAUGCUCCAGAUUCUUCAGCUAACAAAACUCCAGUCUUUAUAAAUUAUCCAGUCUAUGGUAUUCAGUGAUAAAAACAAAGCAGACAAAGACAGAAUGACAUCUAUAGAUGUACCACAAGGAAUGCAACCAAGAUACCUCCUUUUGCUAGAUAUUUAGCUGCCUUUCCAUCUUUUGAGUAGGUAUAUUCUUUUUCAAAUUUUCAGAAGCUGCACAGUAUGUGCUAUCACGACAGACUGAUCUAGAGGCAAAUCUGUGAACCCAGAUACCUGCUACUAAGCCACACAUUAAAGAGGUUUACGGAAUGCAAAAUAACGCAUUUCUCCAUCCUACUUUUGCUUGAUUAGAGUACUAAAAAAUUAAUGUUAAAUAUAAGUAUAUUAUUAUUAGUGAAUUAAUAAAUUUUUGGAUCUUCUCAUUUUUAAUUUCUAUUAAAUAAUGAUAGGUAUAUCCCAUAUAAACAAAAGGUAUUGGGAAUCUCAAUAAUAUUUAAGAGUGUAAAGGGAACCCGAAGGUUUGAGAGCCAUUACCGUAGUUAACUGACAUUUGGUAGUAACAUCAGUUAAAUUUGAGCAAUAUUGUUCAAAAUCAGCCAAAAAAGACACAUGAUAGGAAGAUAAUUUUCACGUGAAAUUUAAACUAUUGAUUCUAGUUUGUGGCAAACAACCACAAAUAUUUCUGGAACAACUGCCACCCAGCCAAGCAUUUCUCUAGGUGUUAGACGAAGACCAAGACCCCAUCUUAUGGAGCUUGUCUUUCGAAGGAGAAAACAGUAAACAUGUAAAUAAGUACACAAAAUAAUUUUGGGUUAUGAUCAUAGUUUUGAAGGAAAUACAAAGACUAAUGUGACAAGAAUUCUUGGGAGGACUUGCAUGCCUCACUUCAAAAGGACGUAAGAACCUAUAUUAGGAUAGGAUUGAGGAUCGGGUGAAUAGAGAAAAUGCAGUAACAUUCCACAACAGAAGUAGUCAAUACAUAAAGUGGAACACAGUAAGCAACGCAGACUUUGCUGCAGGACAAAUCUCUUUUUCUGCAAAUUUCUUUUUCUAAACCAUUCCCUGGCAGUCACUGAAGCAGGAGGCUUUCAAGAGUUCAGGAGAAAGACAGCCCAGCAGGAAUGCCAGCGGAAAUGUGUGCUGAUGUUUCCUGGAAUGAAACUCAGAAGCAGACAGAGCAUUCCAGAAAGUGAGGUCAGACAAGUAGCAUCUGCAGAUAGAGAAUGACUUAAACCCCACAAGUGGGAACAGAUCCCUGGGAGGAAGUGGAGAGAGAAGAGCCCGAGGAAGGAGCCACUUGAAAUAUUUUGAGCAUGUCUCAUCUGAUGUCUUGAACUUUCAAAAAGAAUUAGAAGCCCACUAAAAGACAGUUCUGACCUCAGUGGAGUAAUGAAGACUCCAGUCCACACCCACUUUUACCUAUGCAACAGUGAAAACAUUGUCAUGUUUUUGAAUCACACAGCAGCUUUCUAUUCUUUGUGCAUAUUUACAGUAAACAAGGAAAACGGGAGAUCAUGGGCAUAACAGGCACCAAAAUAAAUGGGACAUUUGGUUUUAGCCAAUAAACAUCUGCCAGUUCACAUUUCCAUUUAUAACAGAGAUGCUCACUCAUCAGCAAUGUGUGAUUUAGAGAUGGCGUGCACAGCUCAGCUUAUAAGCCAGCCUCCUUUCUGAUAAUGUUCCUAAAAAUUAAAGGAAUAGUCGAACGAACCAGUACAUUUCAUUCCAGUUCAUCACCAACUGACACGGUGGACCUUCUCCUACAUCUUCAGCUCCUACCUGUACUCCAACCACUUCUGCAUCUUGCAUGAAUCCACCCUCAACCCUGAUGCAGAGCCCAAAUACUUCCUGGACAUGUCCUUGGAGCUUUGCACUCAAAGGGACCCCAAAGCGGUUUGUCUUUCUGAAUUAUCUGUGUGAUUGGCUCCACUCUCCAUGCUAACAAGAACCCUGGGUGUACCUAAGCUCAGAUGCAAUGCUGUGUCUAUGUAUGUAUCUGCAUUAAGGGUUUUUGCAGGAGAAUAAAAGGUGAAAAUGCAAAGAUCAGGCCAGAAGGCAUCCCAAGAUCAACUCCAGUGUGGAUCCAUAGACCCAGUCCAUGGACUCCCACCUGAACUUCACAAAGAGUAGCCCUGCAUCAAGGCUGAACAAGCUGCUACGGAGUAAGAGGCUGUAUUGCCUUGGUGCCCAGAAUGUCCAAACCAGGCACGGGGGCAUUGACACGAUAGCACAGCUCUUUCUCAGUGAGAGUGCUGGGAAGCUCCCAUUUCUCACUUGACUUUGCUAGAACUGCAGGCAUUUCAUAUAACUUCAAUUCUUCACACCUAAGGAUGGCUACAGUCACUUGAAAAGCAAAAACAAAAAAUAACAAAUUUGGCAAACGUGGAGAACUGAAGCUCUUCUACAUUGCUAGGAGGGUGCAACAUGGUUCAGCUGCUAUGGAAAACAAUUUUCCAGUUACUCAAAAGUUAAAUACGGAAGUACCGCAUGACCCAGACUCCUUACUCCUAGGAUUCCUAAAAAUUUCCCGGAGAACAGCAAAGGGAUACUUACACAUAUGCAUGUUCUUAAUAUUUACUAAGGCUAAAAGGUGGAAACAAGCUAAAUGUCAGUUAGCUGAUGAGAGCAUACAGUCACGGCCUGUCCACUCAGUGGAAUAUUAUUCAGCCACAAAAGUGAAUGAAAUGCUGAUAUAUUUUAUUUAAAAAGACCUUUGAAACAUUCACUAAGGCAAAAGAAGCCUGACCCAAAAGGGGACAUGUUGUGUAACUCUAUUUUUACAAAAUCUCCAGUUAGAAACAAAAAGCAGAUUCUCAGUUGUGAGAAGCUGGUGUAGGAAGAACAGGCAGUGAGCACUUAAAGAUACAGGUUUUCUUGUGGAGGGAUAAAAACGUUUUGGAAAUAAAAGUGACAACUUUUAUUUAAAAGUGACAAGCA
This is a long non-coding RNA of Cavia porcellus (domestic guinea pig), 10372 nucleotides long. RefSeq lists it as uncharacterized. Lineage: Eukaryota; Metazoa; Chordata; Mammalia; Rodentia; Caviidae. The transcript is spliced from 2 exons. The record is from RefSeq and is a predicted model, not a curated record.